CCUAGUAGUGCCCCCCCAUGCAAGCCAAUGACCGGUUCAGAACGACUUCCAACGGAUCUCAUCAGGAUAUUUGAUGUACCAUCAUCAAGCAAGAUACGAACUUGCACACUGGCUGCAGACGCAGCACUAGCAGCAGCAGCAGCUGCUGCUUGUGCUGCAGCUACAGCUGCUUCUUUUGCUUUCCUUGACAAAACCCCCUUGGGAAUUAUAGGAAUUCUGGGAGCCAAUGCAGAUUCCAGUAUAGCAAAUCUAUCACGACAUGUAUCCCAAGCCAGAUGCCUUGCACUGCCUGAAUCUACGAUGGUCCAAUCACUAACCUUGUAUAUAGAGAAGUAAGGAACAUCAGGCCACACAAUUGCGAGAUAUUUUCCUGAACUGCUUACAGAAAGAACAGAAUAUGAAUCAUGUGGAACAGGUGUACUAAUGUGCUUCUUAAUCUGCUUGACAUGCAAUGUUUCAGCUGAGUCUCCCUUGUACUUUCCUGUUUCAGAUAAGGAACCAUUGCUACCAAGAGAGAGAUUUGCUGUGUUGGACAAUUGAAAGUUUAGUAGAUUCAAUUCCCUUUCAACUACAUAGACAGCUGAAUGCUCCCUAUUUCCUGAUGGCGUUGGCAGAGGAGCUACAGCUGGGAGAGACAUGGCAUCAAACUCACUAAUAAUAACACCAAUAUUGGUUCCAGUAGCAA
Molecule: unclassified non-coding RNA, 685 nt
Filed under: Hevea brasiliensis (rubber tree)
Lineage: Eukaryota; Viridiplantae; Streptophyta; Magnoliopsida; Malpighiales; Euphorbiaceae
Source: RNAcentral